Molecule: long non-coding RNA, 1244 nt
Filed under: Nicotiana tabacum (common tobacco)
Lineage: Eukaryota; Viridiplantae; Streptophyta; Magnoliopsida; Solanales; Solanaceae
Description: long non-coding RNA (NTAB_LNC011962)
Source: RNAcentral
AAAAAACACAUUAUUUGAAUCAAAUUGAAAGGAAAGCUUCAGUAGUUCUUCACUUACCUAGUGUGACUCAAUUUAUCGAUUUACGCUUGGGAGUCAAACAUCUCAAUUCUCCCCAAUUGAUCCAACACCUCUUGUCAAUUAAGUUAACUAAGUUUAAAUUAUUGUAAUAAUCUUGGCACAAGCGCAUGUAUUUUCUAUAGUGCCAAACCAUAUGGGCCUGAUCAAGGUUAAACUAGAGCGUUGUGGACAAAGCACUGAUGUAGUUCAUUCAAAAAAACAUGAUUUUGCCACAAAAAGAAAUCGUACGAGGUUACGUAAAGAGCAAUGGGAUUUUGCGAUUCUAAGGGACUACGGUGCAAUAUUCUCCAAGAGUAUUAUACGGAGUAUUCCCUACCCCCGGGUAUGUUAAGGCUAAGCUCUUCUUUCAUUUGGCAUGAUCUCGUCAUUACAUUCAUAUCCCGUAAUUUACGUAUAUUUUGCUAGUCUCGCAAAUUACGUAUAUUUUCCUAGUGUUGUAAAGUUAUAAUAUUCUCCUUAUCGGGACUUCAUAUUCAGUCGAGUGUUUCCUUCUUCCAGUCAAGAGAGCAGAGAAGUUUAUUUAUACAGUAUUAAAAGUAUUUUCAUUACCAUCGAGCUAUAAUCGAUGGGCAGGCCCCUAUUGGGCAACCUCUGAUUAGAUGGUAAGUUAUAUACCGAGCCUACUGUGGCCGAAUGCAUAUGAGUGAGCCCAGUUGGUCGAGAUACAGAGCCUAGUAUGGCCGAGCGCUUAUGAGCGAGCCUACUACGACAGAUCAGUUAUAUAUAUACCGAGCUUACUGUGGACAAGCGCUUAUGAGCGGAGCCCAGUUGGUCGCGAUACAGAGCCUAGUAUGGCCGAGCACUUAUGAGCGAGCCUACUACGAUAGAGCAGUUAUAUAUAUAUAAAUACCGAGCCUUAUAGUGUUGGAGAUCUAUUUUACUUACUAUAUUGAGAGAAUUGAGUCAGUAUCAGCAGGUAAGCAUAUCUUUAGAUUAUCUUUGACUUCCAACUACUUGCAGUUAUUAUAUUAUGAGGUCAGUUUCAGAUUUCAGUAUAUUGCCUUACAUACUCAGUACAUUAUUUCGUACUGACGUCCCUUUUCUGGGGGCACUGCAUUUCAUGCAUGCAGGUCAGACAGAUAAACGAGUAGGCCUCUUCAAUAAGUGUUGCCCGAGUUCAGUUUGAUCGGUAAGCUCCAUGCCUUUCAGAGAUUCCGGGUCUAGAG